This 21-nucleotide small RNA is filed under the name Arabidopsis thaliana (thale cress). RNAcentral describes it as "ATSL076390". The record is from RNAcentral. Lineage: Eukaryota; Viridiplantae; Streptophyta; Magnoliopsida; Brassicales; Brassicaceae.
AAAAAAACAGAAAAAAGAAAC